This 403-nucleotide ribosomal RNA is filed under the name uncultured bacterium. RNAcentral describes it as "bacterial SSU rRNA". It matches the Rfam family "Bacterial small subunit ribosomal RNA", at positions 357 to 774 of the family's 1533-position model. The record is from RNAcentral.
GGGAAUAUUGGGCAAUGGAGGAAACUCUGACCCAGCAACGCCGCGUGAAUGAUGAAGGUCUUCGGAUUGUAAAGUUCUUUUCUAAGGGAAGAAGAAAGUGACGGUACCUUAGGAAUAAGCCUCGGCUAACUACGUGCCAGCAGCCGCGGUAAUACGUAGGAGGCAAGCGUUAUCCGGAAUGACUGGGCGUAAAGGGUGCGUAGGUGGUUUGACAAGUUGGUAGCGUAACUCCGGGGCUCAACCUCGGCACUACUACCAAAACUGUUGGACUUGAGUGCAGGAGGGGCAAAUGGAAUUCCUAGUGUAGCGGUGGAAUGCGUAGAUAUUAGGAGGAACACCAGUGGCGAAGGCGAUUUGCUGGACUGUAACUGACACUGAGGCACGAAAGCGUGGGGAGCAAACA